CGCUGAGGCCGCGUAGGAGAACUGAGCUGCUGGGUCCUGCCGUCAGUGCAGUUUCUUGGCAGCACGUUGGGGACACUGCGCCAUUAGAAGAGAGCCACAGAAUGUUAAAGGAACAACGUGUGAAAUGAAAGACCUCAGGUGCUGUAUUGGCUCUUGACAGCUCUUCAGAAGAAAGCACCUCCUGCCUGUUCUGUUCAGUCCUGGUGCAGGUGGUCCUGGACAACACUUUGAAAAAUGCUGGGGCAGAAACAAGCCAGCAAGCAUAUGGGAUUCAUCUGCUGUGAGUGAUAAUUUAUCUAGUUUCUAAAUAUAGUGUUAUAGGCUGGACUGUGUCCCCUUCGCCUCCCCCCCGCCGCCAUGCAUAUAUUGACGCCCUAACCCCUAGCACCUCAGAAUGUGACUGUAUUUGGAAACAGGGCCUUU
Molecule: long non-coding RNA, 423 nt
Filed under: Pongo abelii (Sumatran orangutan)
Lineage: Eukaryota; Metazoa; Chordata; Mammalia; Primates; Hominidae
Description: lncRNA (ENSPPYG00000036143.1)
Source: RNAcentral